UUAACCCCACAAUUACACCGCAAUUAGAGCUUAAUUAGGAUAUUUAUAGAAUUAUUACUCUCUCAGCUAAGCUAUGGCUAUCGGUGGCUUGGCCUCGGCGAGCUCGGACAUGAACAUAUGGAAGCUUCUCACCAUCCCCCUCCGAGAAAAUUUAAUUCACGAUUAAGACUUUCAUUUUCUGCAAUGUGGGAAGAACCCUAGUAGGUGGGAACUGGGAAGUGGGAAGAUGGAAUCCGGUUUUGAAAUUACCUUUUUCUCCCUCUCCUUUCGUUUGGCGGAUUUCUGAUUGACAGUUGGAUUGGAAACAGCAGGGGAUGGGGAUGAAUUCGGGUUUGAGUCCGAAUCUGCGGGCUCCGACUUCACGAAAUGCGGCUUGGAGCACGAAUUCGACGGAAUUGAUUCCGUCUCCGGCGAGUUCCCAGCGAAGACGGAGAAUUUCGAGGCUCGGUCAACCAAAGCCGUGUCCGAAGGGAAAAUUGGCGGCGGAAGAAAACCCUGGUGAUAGUUCCUCUGAGGUUCAAUUUCAGGAAGCUUCGUCGCCGGCGAACCUUCCGCUUCCGACGAGUGAACCAAGAGCUCCACCGCCUGCUUCGCUGGGAGCUCGAGUAGAGCAGUGAACGAACUUCCAGCUUCCUCAGAUACUACUACAGGCAUUAAACCCUGGAAACCCUCGUCGCCAAACUGUGGAACCUCAGUUCCGAUAUCUCCGGGUUUCGCUCCGCAAUUCACGGAUCUAGUUUGACCCAAUUCCAUUGACUCCAUUCCUAUUCGUAAUCAACUCAACCCCGAAUCAAAAACCACUCCCCAGUCCCCAGUCCCCAGUUCACAACACAAAUAUUUCAAAGGCCUAAAUUCAGCUCACCCCGGAGAAUUAUCUAUUUAUCUCAAACUGAAAAGAACCCAGUUAAAUACAAACAGAGUUCUUUCACUUCUCGAAGCUAUCAAACACUCAAGAACUUAAGAGCACUAAAAUGCAGCAAUAUGAUGGUGAACCACAGGCGAAAGAGCUGGAAAAGAGGAAGAAAGAAAGCAGAGUCAAUAAAAAAACGAGAGUGAAGCUUCUAAACUGUUUUGAGCAGAGUUGAUUCUCAUACGAAGGUUGAAUGGCAGAUAGAUAGUCAGGUAAGCGCAACGUUUCUCUAUGCGGUCUGAAAAGGCUGAGCUCUUUUUGCGUAUUAGUUAGAGAGGGUGGGGGAGAAGGUAACAUAUAUAUAUAUAUAUAAAGUACGUAUAAAGCAACGUUUGCUUUGGGGGCCGUUAUCUGUGCUGCAAGAAAGAGAGAGAGAGAGAGAUGAAGAAGAAGGAGAAGCGUAGGAAGAUAGGAGUGUCCUGAAACGGGUGGGCGUUACAGUGGGGACCGGAUACGAACUCAACCCGACACUGUUUCUAUCGCAGUAGAUGACCUGUCAUUUUCUUGCAUUUAUAUUUAUGUUUUUCGAUAGAAAUGAUCUAUUUUGAUCAUUUAACUAUUUAUUAGUAGUUGUGAUUCUCUCGUCACCCAAAAAUGAAGAGGUUCAUGUUUGUUA
Ipomoea triloba (trilobed morning glory) is the source of this 1526-nucleotide long non-coding RNA. RefSeq lists it as uncharacterized. The record is from RefSeq and is a predicted model, not a curated record. Lineage: Eukaryota; Viridiplantae; Streptophyta; Magnoliopsida; Solanales; Convolvulaceae. The transcript has 2 exons.